CAGACACCAGAGGGGUAAUCAGACCCCACGAACUUAAGGCAAAGCGACAGCGCCAAUAUUAAUCACUGGUGUCAAUCCUCCCUUUGGAGCGCGAUCCCCAUCCAAUAAGAAGGGUGAAAACACCGUGUGCUAAUAAGUACCACAUACCAGUCACCAGUGUGUAAGAGGCCAUGGAUGUAUGGAGGAAAUAAGGAGUUAACGGGUCCAUCCAUGGCGACUAUGAUACCAGAAUGUUUGCGGGGGAGAUUGACAGUUUAUUUUGAGUUGUGAAUUAAUGGCUGGACGCCGCGGUAUCAAGGGAAUGGUAUACAUAGUGUUUUGGUUGUAGCGGCC
Molecule: small RNA, 333 nt
Filed under: Histoplasma ohiense
Lineage: Eukaryota; Fungi; Ascomycota; Eurotiomycetes; Onygenales; Ajellomycetaceae
Description: hypothetical lncRNA
Source: RNAcentral